UGCACUUCCGCUGGUCCGGCU
RNAcentral lists this unclassified non-coding RNA (21 nucleotides) under Mus musculus (house mouse). RNAcentral's name for it is "oocyte_clustered_small_RNA2721". The record is from RNAcentral. Lineage: Eukaryota; Metazoa; Chordata; Mammalia; Rodentia; Muridae.